UGCCACAAUUUCAGAGUCUUGGCAGCUGGU
Molecule: non-coding RNA, 30 nt
Filed under: Mus musculus (house mouse)
Lineage: Eukaryota; Metazoa; Chordata; Mammalia; Rodentia; Muridae
Source: RNAcentral